Molecule: transfer RNA, 177 nt
Filed under: Marmota monax (woodchuck)
Lineage: Eukaryota; Metazoa; Chordata; Mammalia; Rodentia; Sciuridae
Description: tRNA.Leu
Source: RNAcentral
GGGGAUGUAGCUUAGUGGUAGAUUGCCUACUUAGAAUGUACAAGGCCUGGAGUUCAAUCUACAGCAACAACAACCAAAAAAAAAAAAAAAGAUAGCAGACUGGGGAAUAGGGCACUCAGUGAUAGGGCACUUUCCUAGUACACAUGAGGCCCCUGGGUUCAAUCCCCAGCAUUGCAA